GGGGAACCUACUUUUUAAGUUCGGAUUCUCUCAGCCGGCGCUGUCGGUCCUGGAUGUAAGCAGUCGGGUCAAAGCGAGGCGCUCGGGACCCUGCGAGUAAGUGGCAAAGUUCCUACCGGUGGGCGAAGGUGACGACCUUCGUGCGAGAGCGUGGGGCCCCGUCGAGUCCGCCCUUCUUCCUCUUUCCGUUGACCUUUGCACUCUGUCUCCUCUGCGUUCUCUGGAUCCCGAGCGACCCCGGACAGGGUUGCGUAAGCGACAGAUCUCCCCGCAUCCGGACAGGGGCGUCCCUUUGCUUCAGAAACAAGACCGCCAAAAUGUUUGGUGACCGGGGGUGCAGCCCAGUACCAAAUGGCCCACGGACCGCAGCAAAGCAACCAUUCAAACAAAGACAUAACACGAAAGCCCAUCUGCUCAACGGGUUCAAAGGAUUCCUCCAAAUCUGAAAUGUCUCGCUCUUGAUUCACUCAAGUUCAAGGCUAUUUUACAAAUGUCCAGUUUCUGUCGCCAUUCAUGCCCACCUUUGAAAAUCCCCCCAAUUCCACAAUGACAAAGACCACCUUCGACCUACUCUGCUCGCAAGCGGUGGAUUUCGACCUCCGCAGACUUGUCGACCCCCUGAGAAGUGAGCGCG
This is a long non-coding RNA of Phyllopteryx taeniolatus (common seadragon), 634 nucleotides long. RefSeq lists it as uncharacterized. The transcript is spliced from 3 exons. Lineage: Eukaryota; Metazoa; Chordata; Actinopteri; Syngnathiformes; Syngnathidae. The record is from RefSeq and is a predicted model, not a curated record.